Molecule: antisense RNA, 75 nt
Filed under: Micromonospora pallida
Lineage: Bacteria; Bacillati; Actinomycetota; Actinomycetes; Micromonosporales; Micromonosporaceae
Description: ASpks TB sRNA
Rfam family: ASpks TB sRNA
Source: RNAcentral
CUUGAUGGAACCGAGCCACAGCGGCUCCCGGCCCUGCCGAUCCUGCCCGUAGGUGGCCAACACCGCCUGCGCCUC